RNAcentral lists this small RNA (140 nucleotides) under Planktothrix rubescens. RNAcentral describes it as "HEARO". It matches the Rfam family "HNH endonuclease-associated RNA and ORF (HEARO) RNA", at positions 1 to 132 of the family's 211-position model. RNAcentral also lists the same sequence under 1 other name. The record is from RNAcentral. Lineage: Bacteria; Bacillati; Cyanobacteriota; Cyanophyceae; Oscillatoriales; Microcoleaceae.
GUCAGCACCCCGCUCUGAAGAGACGGGGCUUCAUGCCUCUCCUUUGGAUAGCUCGUACCCGCCUUAGCCUUAACUGGCUACGUUAUCGGGAAGCGUUAAAGUUCUUACCUUGGGAUGCGAAGCUAGUCCCAAGCUCUAAA